Molecule: ribosomal RNA, 492 nt
Filed under: uncultured bacterium
Lineage: Bacteria
Description: partial 16S ribosomal RNA
Rfam family: Bacterial small subunit ribosomal RNA
Source: RNAcentral
AGUGAACGCUGGCGGUAGGCCUAACACAUGCAAGUCGAACGGCAGCACAGUAAGAGCUUGCUCUUACGGGUGGCGAGUGGCGGACGGGUGAGGAAUACAUCGGAAUCUACUUUUUCGUGGGGGAUAACGUAGGGAAACUUACGCUAAUACCGCAUACGACCUACGGGUGAAAGCAGGGGAUCUUCGGACCUUGCGCGAUUGAAUGAGCCGAUGUCGGAUUAGCUAGUUGGCGGGGUAAAGGCCCACCAAGGCGACGAUCCGUAGCUGGUCUGAGAGGAUGCUCGGCCACACUGGAACAGAGACACGGCCCAGACCCCCAGGGGGGCAGGCAGUGGGGAUUUGUGAACAAGGGGCGCAGGCCGGACCCAGCCAUACCGGGGGGGGAAAGAAGGCUUUCGGGUUGUAAGCCCUUUUUGUGGGGAAAAAAAAGGAGCAGUUUAAUCCCCCCUUUUUCUGAGGGUACCAAAAAAAAAAGCCCCGGCUAACUUCGUG